Molecule: ribosomal RNA, 497 nt
Filed under: uncultured bacterium
Lineage: Bacteria
Description: partial 16S ribosomal RNA
Rfam family: Bacterial small subunit ribosomal RNA
Source: RNAcentral
GAUGAACGCUGGCGGCGUGCCUAAUACAUGCAAGUCGAGCGAACGGACGAGAAGCUUGCUUCUCUGAUGUUAGCGGCGGACGGGUGAGUAACACGUGGAUAACCUACCUAUAAGACUGGGAUAACUUCGGGAAACCGGAGCUAAUACCGGAUAAUAUUUUGAACCGCAUGGUUCAAAAGUGAAAGACGGUCUUGCUGUCACUUAUAAAUGGAUCCGCGCUGCAUUAGCUAGUUGGUAAGGUAACGACUUACCAAGGCAACGAUGCAUAGCCGACCUGAGAGGGUGAUCGGCCACACUGGAACUGAGCCACGGUCCAGACUCCUACGGGAGGCAGCAGUAGGGAAUCUUCCGCAAUGGGCGAAAGCCUGACGGAGCAACGCCGCGUGAGUGAUGAAGGUCUUCGGAUCGUAAAACUCUGUUAUUAGGGAAGAACAUAUGUGUAAGUAACUGUGCACAUCUUGACGGUACCUAAUCAGAAAGCCACGGCUAACUACGUG